Molecule: long non-coding RNA, 736 nt
Filed under: Dermacentor andersoni
Lineage: Eukaryota; Metazoa; Arthropoda; Arachnida; Ixodida; Ixodidae
Description: uncharacterized LOC126525650
Source: RNAcentral
CCAGCAACCGCAGCAACAUCGCCCUAUAAACAUCAAAGGCCAGCAACACCAUCAGCGACCACAGAGUAUACAGGAGCCUCAAGAACGACACGUCAUGAAGCAUUACGAACGUCCACAACGUGAACGGCGUCCGCACCGCCAGAAGGGCCCAAAGAGGCAACAUCGCCCUGGUUCCCACUCAUGGAAUUACAAAGGACAAAAACAACAGCAUCGGUAUCCCCAGUAUCCCCAACAUCCCCAAUAUCGCCAGCGCCCACAGAAUCCUCAGGUUCCAUCCAGACCAUGCUGGAAGGGUGGCCAAAAAAGUCACCACAAGUGUUCAGAUCAGAAGGAAACUGACAGGUUGCCGGUACCUGACGAAUACUUUGGUGGUGGUGGUCAGGAUACGAAGGGCCAGAAGUGGAGACCCAUCGAGCCGGCUCAGGAGAACGGCACCAAAGGAGGUCAGAAAGGACAGGUUGACGACGUUGGUGCCUACGAAGACUACGCCGAGGAGGAGAACAGGGAUGACGAAGAAAGUUUUGAAGGAGGGCUGGAAGAGUAGAGAAGCAUAGGCAUGAGGAACGCACCCACUUUCCAUGCAAAAACGCCGAGACUUGGAGCCUUGCUUUGCUCUUCAUAUCAUGUGCAUGGAACUACUUGUUGCGGAAUAAUAAAGAUCAACUCAACUGUAAACGGCCCAAUACACUGAAGCACACAAGCUGACUGAGAAUAAACAUGUUUAUUUUCAUCUCUA